AGCAGCCGCGGUAAUUCCAGCUCCAAUAGCGUAUAUUAAAGUUGUUGCAGUUAAAAAGCUCGUAGUUGAAUUUCGAGACCGGUUUACUGGUCGUGCUUUUGUACGUACUGGUAUUAUUGGUUUCUCCUUUCUGACGAAUCUUAAUGCCAUUAAUUUGGUGUUUUGGGGAAUCAGGACUGUUACUUUGAAAAAAUUAGAGUGUUUAAAGCAGGCUCACGCUUGAAUACAUUAGCAUGGAAUAACGAAAUAGGACGUUUGAUUUUAUUUUGUUGGUUUCUAGGAUCGACGUAAUGAUUAAUAGGGAUAGUUGGG
This 312-nucleotide ribosomal RNA is filed under the name uncultured Glomeromycotina. RNAcentral describes it as "SSU rRNA". It matches the Rfam family "Eukaryotic small subunit ribosomal RNA", at positions 569 to 886 of the family's 1831-position model. The record is from RNAcentral. Lineage: Eukaryota; Fungi; Glomeromycota.